RNAcentral lists this ribosomal RNA (469 nucleotides) under uncultured bacterium. RNAcentral describes it as "bacterial SSU rRNA". It matches the Rfam family "Bacterial small subunit ribosomal RNA", at positions 30 to 490 of the family's 1533-position model. The record is from RNAcentral.
AUUGAACGCUGGCGGAAUGCUUUACACAUGCAAGUCGAACGGCAGCACGGGGCAACCUGGUGGCGAGUGGCGAACGGGUGAGUAAUACAUCGGAACGUGCCCAAUCGUGGGGGAUAACGUAGCGAAAGUUACGCUAAUACCGCAUACGAUCUACGGAUGAAAGCGGGGGAUCGCAAGACCUCGCGCGAAUGGAGCGGCCGAUGUCAGAUUAGGUAGUUGGUGGGGUAAAGGCUCACCAAGCCGACGAUCUGUAGCUGGUCUGAGAGGACGACCAGCCACACUGGGACUGAGACACGGCCCAGACUCCUACGGGAGGCAGCAGUGGGGAAUUUUGGGACAAUGGGCGCAAGCCUGAUCCAGCCAUUCCGCGUGCAGGAUGAAGGCCUUCGGGUUGUAACUAGCUUUUGUACGGUAACGAAACGGGUUACUCUCUAAUACAGGGGCGUAAUGACGGUACCGUAAGAAUAAG